AGACUUAACCGCGUAAGUGAUAGCUUAGUUUUUAUGCUGUUUGGACAUACGAAAAACUCAAUGAUUCUGUAAUGGAUAAACCGUGUGAAAGUAAGAUUAUUAGACCAGACCCGUUACUAAAAGACAGUGAAAAAUAUCAACUAAGACUAAAAAUUAUGAAAAUUGUAUAUAUUUUUAUUCAUUUCUUUAUUAAGUGAUAAUACUUAAUUUAAAUGCCAAACUCAAACCAAUCAGUGGGAUUCGAGCCAUGGCUAAAAGAAAACCCAAAAAUUAUGUACGCUGCAGCGUUUAUAACGUUGCUUAUUAUGUGUAUUGGAAUUAUAGGAAAUAGUUUAACUAUAUUAGUAAUACUAAAAAGUCCACGAAUUCGAAAUAUAGCUUCAACGUUUAUCAUCAGCUUAGGUGCAGCUGAUUUGUUAUUUUGCAUAGCUGUAUUACCAUUUAAUGCUUCAAGAUUUUUGAAUAUUAAUUGGGUACAAUACCAAGAACUCUGUUCAAUUGUACCAUUUUUACAAUACGGAAAUAUUGGAGUAUCGUUGCUAUUUAUUACUAUGAUCACUAUAAAUAGGUAUAUAAUGAUCGUUCAUUCAAGCUUAUAUAAUAUAGUAUAUCGUCCAAUAUGGAUAACUUCUAUGAUUAUACUUUGUCUAAUUAUUUCAUUUGGCAUGCUGAUACCUACCCUUUUAAGUAAAUGGGGCAAAUUUGAAUAUGAUCCAAAGUUGGGUACGUGUUCAAUAGUAUCUGAUGAAUUUGGUCAAUCUUCGAAAUCUGCUCUUUUGGUCACUGGGUUCAUUAUACCAUGUAUUGUAAUUGUUUGCUGUUACACUGGUAUAUUUUUGGUUGUUCGUAAUUCAGAAAAACGAAUGCGAAGGCAUCAAACAUCCACUCAAAGUGAUCCAACAGCAACUCAUAUGCAGUCUAUAAGAAGGAAACUUAGUGAAUGGAGGAUAACUAAAAUGGUUUUGGCUAUAUUUUUAUCUUUUGUAUUUUGCUAUUUGCCAAUUACAAUCACAAAAACCUUAGAUCCAAAUGUUCAAUACCCAGCUCUUCUCUUGAUUGCAUAUAUUAUGAUUUACGCAUCAGCGUGCUUUAAUCCAAUUAUAUACGUCAUAAUGAAUAAACAGUAUAGAAAAGCAUUUAAAUCAGUUCUAAAUUGUGGAUGUUGUGAAAAAGCUACAAAACGAGUACCUGUUUUGAGAUCCAUAUCGAAACGUCUACAGCCACACGGUAACUUGACAUCAUCAACUGUCAUGCAAACAUUGCAAACAAUAAGCCCGGGUUAAGGGAGAGUGCCUUAACAUAUUGGAUUUUUUUAUGAACCUCAAACUCUGCAAUAGGAGUUCAAGAAGAUCGUGGAUUUGGAACAACUGUAUCACAUGUGUCAUCGAUUGCUUUAGAAUCAUUGGAUCAUAAUAACAAGAUUUCGCUUAUAGCA
This is an RNA transcript of Rhopalosiphum maidis (corn leaf aphid), 1435 nucleotides long. It is a transcript of the gene named G-protein coupled receptor moody, with no coding region annotated. The transcript has 9 exons. The record is from RefSeq and is a predicted model, not a curated record. Lineage: Eukaryota; Metazoa; Arthropoda; Insecta; Hemiptera; Aphididae.